Molecule: ribosomal RNA, 449 nt
Filed under: uncultured bacterium
Lineage: Bacteria
Description: bacterial SSU rRNA
Rfam family: Bacterial small subunit ribosomal RNA
Source: RNAcentral
UGCCAGACUCCUACGGGAGGCAGCAGUAGGGAAUAUUGCACAAUGGGGGAAACCCUGAUGCAGCAACGCCGCGUGAGUGAAGAAGUAUUUCGGUAUGUAAAGCUCUAUCAGCAGGGAAGAAAAUGACGGUACCUGAGUAAGAAGCCCCGGCUAACUACGUGCCAGCAGCCGCGGUAAUACGUAGGGGGCAAGCGUUAUCCGGAUUUACUGGGUGUAAAGGGAGCGUAGACGGCGAUACAAGUCUGAAGUGAAAGCCCGGGGCUCAACCCCGGGACUGCUUUGGAAACUGUGUUGCUGGAGUGCUGGAGAGGCAAGCGGAAUUCCUAGUGUAGCGGUGAAAUGCGUAGAUAUUAGGAAGAACACCAGUGGCGAAGGCGGCUUGCUGGACAGUAACUGACGUUGAGGCUCGAAAGCGUGGGGAGCAAACAGGAUUAGAUACCCCGGUAUGC